Peromyscus maniculatus bairdii (prairie deer mouse) is the source of this 1175-nucleotide non-coding RNA. The record is from RefSeq and is a predicted model, not a curated record. Lineage: Eukaryota; Metazoa; Chordata; Mammalia; Rodentia; Cricetidae.
AGAAGACAGGAGCUCAGCCCCCUUUCAGGCUGAAGAGCUGGUGAGAAACAAGUUUUCUGCUGUGAAGUUAUUCAUUCAGCAAAUAUUGAUGCACUGUCUACUGGGUGACUGGCACAUUUCUAGUCAUUAGAGAUACAGCAGUGAAGAAAACAGAGCAACCUCUGCCUGCCUGGACCUGAUAUUCUAGGGAAAGAAAGCAUGAAACAGUGGAGAUCCAAGCCUGGUGAUACGUGCUUGUAAUCCCAGCACUGGGGAGGCUGAGGCAGGAGGACCAAGAGUUCAAAGCAAACUCUAGCUACAUAGCGGACUGGGCUGCAAAGGGAACCCUGACUAAAACAAGAAAAGGAAGAAGAAAGAAGCCAACAAGAAGAGAAAUUGCAGGGAGAAGUGAGAUGCCGUGAAAACUGGUGCUGAGGUGACAGCUGCUGGAAGGUCCGUGUGUCCCAGCAGGCCCUGCCCACAAGUUCCACAUAUGGAACAAGUCGAGUGCUGCUUCCUCAGACAACUGUUGAUCUCUGACCCGGAGGGAAGAAGUGGGGGAAGGUGCCAGUGGCGGUCCAAAUGGAUAAAGAGGCACCGACACAGACAGCCACGUGAGGGGCCUGGCCUCUCCUUCGUAGGAAGACCGUGAGCUCCCGGUACUAUGAGGAAGGUCUGGGUGCCGGCCAAGGUAGGAAAGUCCACAGCCAGCACCUCCUGAGCACGCCGGCCCUGUGCUGAGCACUUAGUUAACAAGAUAAGCCGGUACUGUUAAUGCCCUGCAGGGAAAAAUGAGGAAACUGAACCCCUGGGAAAAAUACUCAAGCACUCUAUACCAUCUCCUGCCAAGUUCAGGGGGACGGGCAUUCGGUGAUUCAUUAGUGAACGUUACGGAAAAAAAUCAGCAUGUACCUACUGUGGCAACACAGGUGAGCAAGACUGAUCCAAGAAAGUCAAGUGUGAACCACAGCUGCGCCACCACCCACAGAGGCUUUCCAAGUGAACUGAGUUUGAGUCAGCCAGAGCUCCCUCAUGCAGAGACAGAAGGCAGGGUGGUAUAAGUGGGUGGGCUGUCCCCAUACCUACUCCCCCGUCCAAGUCCAGAGUCCUCUUCCUGACCGUCACUAGACCUCAGUUUCAGAACCCAUGAAAUGGGAACAAUAAUAGCUCUGUGUGUGUGUGUGUGUGUGUGUGUG